AGUGAACGCUGGCGGUAUGCCUAAUACAUGCAAGUCGAGCGGACGCACAAUAAGCGCUUUCUCUUACGGUUGGCGAGUGACGGACGGGUGAGGCAUACAUCGGAAUCUACUUUUUCGUGGGGGACAACGGAGGGACACUUACGAUAAUACCUCAUAUGAUCUACCGCUUAAAGCAAUAGUGCAUCGCGGCUUGCCCGAUACUUAUAGCCGGUGUCGCAUUAGCUAGUUUGUAGGGUAAAGGCUCACCAAGGCGACGAUACGUAGCUGGUCUGAGAGGGUGAUCGGCCACACUGGAACUGAGACACGGUCCAGACUCCUACGGGAGGCAGCAGUAGGGAAUAUUGGGCAAUGGGCGCAAGCCUGAUCCAGCAACACCGCGUGAGUGAUGAAGGCCUUCGGGUCGUAAAGCUCUGUUGUUGGGAAAGAACAAAAGUGUAAGUAAAUAUCCCUGUCUUGACGGUACCCAAAGAGAAAGCACCGGCUAACUUCGUG
Molecule: ribosomal RNA, 492 nt
Filed under: uncultured bacterium
Lineage: Bacteria
Description: partial 16S ribosomal RNA
Rfam family: Bacterial small subunit ribosomal RNA
Source: RNAcentral